GUGGGGUGUGGUGGCACCCACCUGUAAUCCCAGUGACUCUUGGGAGGCUGAGGCAGGAGGAUCACAAAUUCAAGGCCAGCCUAAGCAACUUAGUGAGAUCCUGUCUCAA
RNAcentral lists this small RNA (109 nucleotides) under Marmota monax (woodchuck). Lineage: Eukaryota; Metazoa; Chordata; Mammalia; Rodentia; Sciuridae. The record is from RNAcentral.